AGAGUUUGAUCAUGGCUCAGAACGAACGCUGGCGGCGUGCUUAACACAUGGAAGUGCGAACGUGAUUGGAAGCUUGCUUCCAUGAAAGUGGCGCACGGGUGAGUAACGCGUGGAUAACCUGCCCUGGUAUCUGGGAUAACAUCUCGAAAGGGGUGCUAAUACCGGAUAAGCCUACGGACUCUUCGGAGUCUGAGGGAAAAGGUGGCCUCUAUUUAUAAGCUACCGUAUCAGGAUGGGUCCGCGUACCAUUAGCUAGUUGGUAGGGUAAUGGCCUACCAAGGCAACGAUGGUUAGCUGGUCUGAGAGGAUGAUCAGCCACACUGGAACUGAGACACGGUCCAGAUUCCUACGGGAGGCAGCAGUGGGGAAUUUUGCGCAAUGGGGGAAACCCUGACGCAGCAACGCCGCGUGAGUGAUGAAGGCUUUCGGGUCGUAAAGCUCUGUCAGAGGGGAAGAAAUGGAACUGGCUAAUAUCCAGUUUUCUUGACGGUACCCUCAAAGGAAGCACCGGCUAACUCCGUGCCAGCAGCCGCGGUA
This 537-nucleotide ribosomal RNA is filed under the name uncultured Pseudomonadota bacterium. RNAcentral describes it as "bacterial SSU rRNA". It matches the Rfam family "Bacterial small subunit ribosomal RNA", at positions 8 to 522 of the family's 1533-position model. The record is from RNAcentral. Lineage: Bacteria; Pseudomonadati; Pseudomonadota.